AUAUAUCAUCAUACAUCAUCAGAUGAAAUCUUCAUUCAUUGUUUGAAUUUCAUAUUAUAUGUUUCAUUCUUCACAUCUUUGGAAUGACAACCUUUUAUUCCUUUUUGGCUUUGGACUAACCAGGAUCAUGCGACGAUCUUUUAUUCGGAUCGAUUUCUGUGAUCUUCCUCGGAUCGAACUAUUUAUGAUCUUUCUCGGAUCAAAGUGGCCAU
This 212-nucleotide long non-coding RNA is filed under the name Elaeis guineensis (African oil palm). RNAcentral's name for it is "long non-coding RNA (EGUI_LNC001231)". Lineage: Eukaryota; Viridiplantae; Streptophyta; Magnoliopsida; Arecales; Arecaceae. The record is from RNAcentral.